This 233-nucleotide long non-coding RNA is filed under the name Gossypium barbadense (sea-island cotton). RNAcentral describes it as "long non-coding RNA (GBAR_LNC014003)". Lineage: Eukaryota; Viridiplantae; Streptophyta; Magnoliopsida; Malvales; Malvaceae. The record is from RNAcentral.
UUGUGUUCCUCUGGCCUUGAAUCCCGAAAUCAUAUCUUCUUUGAAUGUGAAUAUUCUUGCAGACUUUGGCAGUUACUUUUGGAAUUGUGUGGCAUGAGGAGAAUGGUUGGCUCGUGCGAUCAAGAACUAUGUUGGGCAAUAUCUCAUCUUAAGGGUAAGUUCCUUAUCUCAUAUCUUUUUAAGGUGGCUUGGAAUGCUUAUGUGCAUUCUAUUUGGUGCAAAAGAAAUGGUAG